UGGGGAAUAUUGGACAAUGGGCGAAAGCCUGAUCCAGCCAUGCCGCGUGUGUGAAGAAGGUCUUCGGAUUGUAAAGCACUUUAAGUUGGGAGGAAGGGCAGUAAGCGAAUACCUUGCUGUUUUGACGUUACCGUCAGAAUAAGCACCGGCUAACUCUGUGCCAGCAGCCGCGGUAAUACAGAGGGUGCAAGCGUUAAUCGGAAUUACUGGGCGUAAAGCGCGCGUAGGUGGUUCGUUAAGUUGAAUGUGAAAGCCCCGGGCUCAACCUGGGAACUGCAUCCAAAACUGGCGAGGUAGAGGAGGGCAGAGGGUGGUGGAAUUUCCUGUGGAGCGGUGAAAUGCGUAGAUAUAGGAAGGAACACCAGUGGCGAAGGCGACCACCUGGGCUCAUACUGACACUGAGGGGCGAAAGCGUGGGGAGCAAACAGG
Molecule: ribosomal RNA, 429 nt
Filed under: Pseudomonadota bacterium
Lineage: Bacteria; Pseudomonadati; Pseudomonadota
Description: Proteobacteria bacterium partial 16S ribosomal RNA
Rfam family: Bacterial small subunit ribosomal RNA
Source: RNAcentral